GAUCCUGGCUCAGAAUCAACGCUGGCGGCGCGCUUAACACAUGCAAGUCGAACGAGAAAGGGGAGCAAUCCCUGAGUAAAGUGGCGUACGGGUGAGUAACACGUGGGUGAUCUGCCUUUUGGUGGGGAAUAACCCUGGGAAACCGGGGCUAAUACCGCAUAAGUCCGCAAGGAGAAAGUCGAAAGACGCCGGAAGAGGAGCCCGCGGCCGAUUAGCUAGUUGGUAGGGUAAAGGCCUACCAAGGCAAUGAUCGGUAGCCGGCCUGAGAGGGCACACGGCCACACUGGCACUGAAACACGGGCCAGACUCCUACGGGAGGCAGCAGUGGGGAAUCUUGCACAAUGGGGGAAACCCUGAUGCAGCGACGCCGCGUGAGCGAUGAAGCCCUUCGGGGUGUAAAGCUCUUUCGACAGGAACGAUAAUGACGGUACCUGGAGAAGAAGCUGCGGCUAACUACGUGCCAGCAGCCGCGGUAAUACGUAGGCAGCAAGCGUUGUUCGGAAUUACUGGGCGUAAAGAGUGUGUAGGCGGUUUCGUAAGUUUGGUGUGAAAUCUCCCGGCUUAACUGGGAGGGUGCGCCGAAAACUGCGGGGCUUGAGUGCCGGAGAGGAAGGCGGAAUUCCUGGUGUAGCGGUGAAAUGCGUAGAUAUCAGGAGGAACACCGGCGGUGUAGACGGCCUUCUGGACGGCCACUGACGCUGAGACACGAAAGCGUGGGAGCAAACAG
RNAcentral lists this ribosomal RNA (727 nucleotides) under uncultured Acidobacteriota bacterium. RNAcentral describes it as "bacterial SSU rRNA". It matches the Rfam family "Bacterial small subunit ribosomal RNA", at positions 15 to 775 of the family's 1533-position model. The record is from RNAcentral. Lineage: Bacteria; Pseudomonadati; Acidobacteriota.